Molecule: ribosomal RNA, 346 nt
Filed under: uncultured bacterium
Lineage: Bacteria
Description: bacterial SSU rRNA
Rfam family: Bacterial small subunit ribosomal RNA
Source: RNAcentral
GACGAACGCUGGCGGCGUGCUUAACACAUGCAAGUCGAGCGGUAAGGCCCUUUCGGGGGUACACGAGCGGCGAACGGGUGAGUAACGCGUGGGUGACCUGCCCUUAGCUCUGGGAUAAGCCUGGGAAACUGGGUCUAAUACCGGAUAUGACUCCAUGACGCAUGUUGUGGGGUGGAAAGCCUUGUGCGGCUAGGGAUGGGCCCGCGGCCUAUCAGCUUGUUGGUGGGGUGAUGGCCUACCAAGGCGACGACGGGUAGCCGGCCUGAGAGGGCGACCGGCCACACUGGGACUGAGACACGGCCCAGACUCCUACGGGAGGCAGCAGUGAGGAAUCUUGCGCAAUGGG